AAAUUGAAGAGUUUGAUCAUGGCUCAGAUUGAACGCUGGCGGCAGGCCUAACACAUGCAAGUCGAACGGUAACAGGAAGCAGCUUGCUGCUUUGCUGACAAGUGGCGGACGGGUGAGUAAUGUCUGGGAAACUGCCUGAUGGAGGGGGAUAACUACUGGAAACGGUAGCUAAUACCGCAUAACGUCGCAAGACCAAAGAGGGGGACCUUCGAGCCUCUUGCCAUUGGAUGUGCCCAGAUGGGAUUAGCUAGUAGGUGGGGUAACGGCUCACC
RNAcentral lists this ribosomal RNA (272 nucleotides) under Escherichia coli. Its description in RNAcentral is "partial 16S ribosomal RNA". It matches the Rfam family "Bacterial small subunit ribosomal RNA", at positions 1 to 269 of the family's 1533-position model. Lineage: Bacteria; Pseudomonadati; Pseudomonadota; Gammaproteobacteria; Enterobacterales; Enterobacteriaceae. The record is from RNAcentral.